UACGUAGGCAGCAAGCGUUGUCCGGAUUUAUUGGGCGUAAAGAGCGUGUAGGCGGCCAGGUAGGUCUGCUGUGAAAACUCGAGGCUCAACCUCGAGACGUCGGCGGAAACCAUCUGGCUAGAGUCCGGAAGAGGAGAGUGGAAGUUCCUGGUGUAGCGGUGAAAUGCGCAGAUAUCAGGAAGAACACCCGUGGCGAAGGCGGCUCUCUGGGACGGUACUGACGCUGAGACGCGAAAGCGUGGGGAGCGAACAGG
Molecule: ribosomal RNA, 254 nt
Filed under: uncultured bacterium
Lineage: Bacteria
Description: partial 16S ribosomal RNA
Rfam family: Bacterial small subunit ribosomal RNA
Source: RNAcentral